GUCCACGCCCUAAACGAUGCGGACUGGACGUUGGGCUCAACUAGGAGCUCAGUGUCGAAGCUAACGCGUUAAGUCCGCCGCCUGGGGAGUACGGUCGCAAGACUGAAACUCAAAGGAAUUGACGGGGGCCCCGCACAAGUGGUGGAGUAUGUGGUUUAAUUCGAUGCAACGCGCAGAACCUUACCUGGCCUUGACAUCCACGGAAGCCUUCAGAGAUGAGGGUGUGCCUUCGGGAACCGUGAGACAGGUGCUGCAUGGCUGUCGU
Molecule: ribosomal RNA, 265 nt
Filed under: uncultured bacterium
Lineage: Bacteria
Description: partial 16S ribosomal RNA
Rfam family: Bacterial small subunit ribosomal RNA
Source: RNAcentral